UAUAUGCAAAGAAAUUGUGAAUAACUUGAUCACUUCUCCUUACCAUUUACAAAAUUAAAAUAUCUCCCUACUUCUGAUAAUCUGAAAGGGUCAGAAUAGUCAUGAAGGGAAAUAAAAUGCUAGAAUUACAGAAUAACUCGAAAAGACAAAUACACAGUCCUAUCAAGAACACCGUAUGUUCAUCGUCAUCCUCUACCUCCUCUUGUGUUGUUACUGUUAAUGGUUGAUUCACAACAGAAUAUUGGCAGUUGUAAGACAAAUUCAGCAUGAUAAGCCUCUUAUUUCUUAUUUGGCUCGUGAAUAAUAGUAAAAUAUAUUCAACACAUUUUCUCUACACAGACCGCAGACGUAUGAAUCAUCAGAUGUUAAAUUCAUCACAACAACACCUCUGUGAUACAAUGAAGAAAAGAACAGUUGAGGUGCAUAGGCUUGCUUGUGGAACUAAUCUUAUUUAUUCCCAUAGAAGCAAAGAACUUCCGCACCUAAUUUACAUGGAAUUCAAUUUCCAAGAUUAGAAAUUUCACAUUUUAGAAAAGUUGAGAAAAAGUACAUAAGACGUGUAAUUGUUUUCAAGUUUGAUUUUCGCUGAUUGAAAAUUCUAAAUAGUUAUCCCAAACAACCAAAUUGGGAGUCACUCCAGGGAGCAAAUAGUUGCAAUGUUAUAAGUAUAAAGAAUCUUCAUUUAAGCACGUGAAGUUCUUUGAUUAAUUUAGAUGAAAUAACAUAAAUUAUCUGCAAUUUUGUAACCACAAAUUUAACGUGAAACAUACACUGAGAGAAGUAUUUCAUUAUUUCAGUAAUAUCUUUUCUCAGGACUACAAAGCUAAUUGUAUUCUUAUGAAGAAUCACGUAUAUAAAACUUACAAAUACUGUUUUACAUGAAAGAAAAUAUCCUAAAAUUAGAGCAUGUAGUACUGCAAUGAGAUAAUAAAAGCAAUAUAGUCUUCCCAUGUCGAUCCUCAACCAACAAAUUUGAAGACUUAUUGUGAAUAACUACUACCAAUGAUCUUUUGUUUUGCAUCAGCAGAAGUGAAUUGGUCACCGGAUUGAUUUUGCACAGCUAUGGACCUAUAUAAUGAAUGAAAGCUAAUUCUUUGGGGAUUCAGAUCUACAAAGAGCUUAAUUAAAGCAAUAAAAAAAGUUUAACAUGUUGAUCAAAUCCUGGAGUAGAAGUGUCUUACCAAUUUACAACUGCUCAGUAAACCAAUUUCACCGCUACUGAUUAUCUCAUUUUUUUUUGCUUAUUUCGUCUCUUCCAUUCCCUCGCACUGCAUAUCCUAGUUUCGAACUAAAUGAGAUUAUUUCGAAGAAGUUCCAUUGUCGAUGUGCUAUCUGCUAUGUUAAUGGAUUUCCUCUAUAAUCUAUACAACCAAAAUUAGAGAUCUCUAAAGAAGAAAUUUUUUAUAUUACUUGUAGAGUUUGAAACUAAAAUAAUGAAAAAUGAAAUUUUUGCUAACCUUUUUGGUGCUUGCAAGCACAAUCGGGACAAUUAAAAAUUUCAUUGUAAAAUACUAAGUAAUAAAUUGAGAGAUAUGCUCAAUUGUAUAGGAUUUAAAGGAGAUAGUUCUACAUCUGCAAUAUCCUGAGGGGACUUGCAAGCAGCAUCAAGACUCACGAUCAGAAUCUCUACACUCU
This 1635-nucleotide long non-coding RNA is filed under the name Nicotiana tabacum (common tobacco). Its description in RNAcentral is "long non-coding RNA (NTAB_LNC003254)". The record is from RNAcentral. Lineage: Eukaryota; Viridiplantae; Streptophyta; Magnoliopsida; Solanales; Solanaceae.